This 494-nucleotide ribosomal RNA is filed under the name uncultured bacterium. RNAcentral describes it as "partial 16S ribosomal RNA". It matches the Rfam family "Bacterial small subunit ribosomal RNA", at positions 28 to 507 of the family's 1533-position model. The record is from RNAcentral.
GACGAACGCUGGCGGCGUGCUUAACACAUGCAAGUCGAACGGUGAAGCGCCUUCCUUUUUGGUGGGUGUGGAUGAGUGGCGAACGGGUGAGUAACACGUUAGUAACCUGCCCCCUUCUGCUGGAUAACCGCAGGAAAGUGUGGCUAAUACGGGAUAUUCUGGGUCUGUCGCAUGAUGGGUCUGGGAAAGAUAUUGUUUCGGUGGGGGAUGGUCUCGCGGCCUAUCAGCUUGUUGGUGGGGUGAUGGCCUACCAAGGCGGUGACGGGUAGCCGGCCUGAGAGGGUGGGCGGUCCCAGUGGGGAGGAGCCGCGGACACGACUACGGGGGGAAGCAGCAGGGGGGAUUAGUGAACAAUGGGAGGAAGGAUGAUGCAGCGACGCCUCGUGGGGGAUGGAGGCCUGCGGGUUGUGAACCUCUUUCGCGAGUGAAGCAGGGCUGCCUCGUUUGUGGGUGGGUUGACGGUAGCUGGAUAAGAAGCGCCGGCUAACUACGUG